CACUUACUUCCUCCGUUCAAGAAAAAAUGUCUCAACUUUGACUAAAUUUGAAUGCAUCUAUACACUAAUCAUGUCUACAUACAUCUAAAUUUUGACAAACUUGAAACAUUUUUUGUUCAACGGAGGGAAUACUUG
Brachypodium distachyon (stiff brome) is the source of this 135-nucleotide non-coding RNA. Lineage: Eukaryota; Viridiplantae; Streptophyta; Magnoliopsida; Poales; Poaceae. The record is from Rfam.